Molecule: unclassified non-coding RNA, 835 nt
Filed under: Micropsis nana
Lineage: Eukaryota; Viridiplantae; Streptophyta; Magnoliopsida; Asterales; Asteraceae
Description: partial external transcribed spacer
Source: RNAcentral
UUUUGGUUUUCGAAAACGAACGAUGAUCUGCGGCAACAUCGGGAACUACGCGGCAUCGAUGAAAGUCGAUCCACGUCUCAAUGUUGUUGACCCGCCUCCUGAUUUUGAAUCCCUUGUUUCGUUUCUCGAUGAUAUUCGUUAAAAGAUGUGGCUAUGGCAGGUUGCUUGGGGAUCUUAGUUUGACUUCGAUCUUAGUUUUAAGCUUAAUCGGUUUCUUCACGAGAUCUGCAUGGGUUGUCUGAUUGUAUGGCAUGUUCUUGUUUGAUUGUUGCCUUAUGAUUGGAUGGUUUGUGUGAUCGAUGACAUGAUGUGACUUGUUAAUCUUAAAACUUGUGAGGGCGAUUUGAUGUUGUUACAUUUGUUGACGAGUAUUGUUGACUGAUGCUGCAAGUGUUUCUUGGUAGCUUGUUUAUCUGAUGCGUUGCUGAUGAGAUUCGUCUCAAUAGGUGGUGUCAUGUUGCUUGUUGUUCCUAGUUUCUAGCUUUUUAAGCUUAAAACCCAUGGAUUAUCGACUAGUAACAGGUCAUCGCGUCUUUGGUUGAUGAAGAUCGUUCAAUGAUGCAUUGGUUUGCUUGUGUUCUCGCAUCGUUCGGUGCAUUCUGGGGUCAUUUUGGCUAUUAGCUGCUUGCCUUGCAUUUGAGCUUGUUGGGUGGCUAUUAGUUGGGUGAUUUCGGGAAUGUCUACCGUAAAGGUGCAUGAGUGGUGUUUGGUUUGUUACGGGUGGUUGGCUCUUUGCUUGUGCAACAACUUCCACCUGGCAUACCUCUUCAGUCUUGUGUCAAUGCUUGUAUCGGAUUGAGUGCAUUGUGGGGUUUCCUGUGUUGCAUGCCUAAUU